RNAcentral lists this long non-coding RNA (668 nucleotides) under Gossypium barbadense (sea-island cotton). RNAcentral describes it as "long non-coding RNA (GBAR_LNC019702)". Lineage: Eukaryota; Viridiplantae; Streptophyta; Magnoliopsida; Malvales; Malvaceae. The record is from RNAcentral.
GAAGAGGAAUGAUAAAGGGUGGCCUGAGUGUGGGGUAAUUAUGGAAGAAGGGCCCUAUGAUGAGUUCGAGGAUAAGGCUUUCACUAGGCGUUGCCAGGCCUUGAUUGCUCUUUUCACUUUUGUGGUAUUGUUUACUGUGUUUUGCUUGAUUAUUUGGGGUGCCAGCAGGCCUUACAAAGCUGAAAUCCUGGUCAAGGUAUGCUAAUUUUAUCCAUUUCUUCAUUUUCUAAUCAUACUUAUGUUAAAAUAUCAGAAAAAGUGAGAAUAUUUAUACUCUCUAACACGUUUAGGUCUGUUUGGUUGAGAGGAAAAAAUGAAAAGAGUUAACGAAAAGUGGAAAGAAAAUAAAUCAAAAUCUCCAAGUUCAUUACUGUUGACAGUAACCUUAGAGCCGCAGAAACCAUGAGUUGCUCCACUCAUAUGCAAAUGCAAUAUGCAUAUUUUAUCACUUGUUUUAUAUGUUAGAGUUGAUUUGAUGAAGAAUGUGAGUCUCGCAGAGCUUUGCAGUGCACAACUUCUAUAUCGGGGAAGGUUCAGAUUUCUCAGGGGUACCAACAAAAUUGCUGACUGUCAAUGGCACCUUGAAGCUGAGUGUAUACAACCCUGCUACAAUAUUUGGUAUUCAUGUUACUUCCAAUCCCGUCAAUCUCGUAUACUCAGAAAUUCCC